Molecule: long non-coding RNA, 1668 nt
Filed under: Homo sapiens (human)
Lineage: Eukaryota; Metazoa; Chordata; Mammalia; Primates; Hominidae
Description: HSALNT0391132
Source: RNAcentral
CAAGAGUGAAACUCCAUCUCAAAAAAAAAUACUAGUAAAUAUAAAUAAAUAAAAAGUUCAGUAGACACUUCUUGGGAAACUUUAUGUGUCUCUAGUAGAGUUAAAAGGUUUUGCAGAAGAUAAACGUUAAAAAAUUAUUUAUUUGGAGUGAAUCUUUGGUGAGUUUUUAUAACUUUAAUUGCAUCAAAUACUGAAUGCUGUGAGAGUCAAUAAAAAAAUCUUAUAACAGAAGAAAAUCAGUAUCUUUAAAUAAAAAAGCCAUAAAUGUAUUGCAAAUCUAGAAGUACCAGAAUGUCACUAAUACAGAACAAAUCAGCAAUCUUGUUUUUAUUUUCUUCCAAACAUUUAAAACCUUGAUUAUUGACAUACUGAAAUUGGCAUGCAUUCUCUUUUCAUGCAGGUAACAGAAUAGACAUGGAGCAGAUCCCUCUGAAAUCAGUUAUAAAUAUUAAAUUGUAUUGAACAUUCAUAGUAAAAAUACGUUGUAAAGUGCUGAAGUCAUGUAAGUCUGCAAAACUGCCACAAGCUCAAAGUUCUUCUCAAGCAGUGGCAGAGAUUUGCUAUAUCCACCUUGUUUUAGAUUAUGCCUGUUUUUGACAGACACUGUGUCAUUUCCUCCCCCACCCUCCCCAAAGUUUUAUAGAUUGUCCUAUUUCUAUGGCUGGUAAGAUGCUCUACAAAAUGUAGCAGGUGGUGAUGAACUAUGCCACUUUCAUUUCAGUGCAGAGAAAUAUUCAAGCUUGUGUGUACCUGUAACCAAACUAGGCUUGUUAUGUUUUUCCCCCGAGUUGUCAUAAAUUAACAUUAAUGAUGAGUAAAGAUGGAGCAGCGAGCAUUGACCGUCACCUGCAGGGUGAGAUUGCAGUAAAAUAGGUGAGUAAAAAGUCCACCUAUUAUCCUGACACUUGUCCUCUUUACAGAAAACUGUAACGUGAGCAAUACUAUACAUGUAGUGUGACUCCAAAAAUAAAAAAUAAAACAAACAACAACAACAACAACAAAAAAACAAUGACCAGUUACCCGAUACCUCUGGCAACUUAGAACAAUCAAGUUGUGAGUUAUAGAAGAUGUAAAUUGCAACUUGUAACUCGCUAUAACAUAAAUGUCUCUGUUACCCCCAUGUGAAAUACAGAAAUGCUUCAACAAUUAGAUGGUUUUUUCUUUAAAUCAGAAAUGCUUUAACAGUUCAAUGAAAUAUAAUUCUGAUCAAAGAAGUUCCUCAAGUAUUCUUAGAUGAUAAAACAAAUUAUUUUUGAAAGCUAAGGUGAUUUGCUAUCCGUUAUUUUUUCCCCUUUAAAUAGCACAUGUUGCCCUUAAUCAAAUGGAAGAAUCAUGACAACUUGGCCUUUUAUGAAAGUAUUUUUUACAAGAUAAGACGUAUUCUGUGAGGCAUUUAAAGGACUGCAGAAAGGAGGUAAAAAUGCUGCUUAUGUCUCAGAUUUUAUUUCUUUUGAUUAAUCAUCCUAGAAUAACUUAAUAAUAAAUAGCGGUUUAAAUUAAAGACACUACAGUCACAUAUUUCUGUAUAACUAAAAGCAACAGGAAACACAUUUUUAAAUGCCAUUUUGUAUAUUCUGUACUGAAACACUUCUGGUAAGGACUGGCCAUAAAAAGAAGUGGUAAUCUUCACAUUUAUGAAGUUCAAGUUAUAUAUAUAUAUAUACUUAA